GCUCAAAUUUGAAAUCUAGCACCUUCGGUGUUCGAGUUGUAAUUUGAAGAUGGUAACCUUGGGUUUGGCUCUUGUCUAUGUUCCUUGGAACAGGACGUCAUAGAGGGUGAGAAUCCCGUCUGAUGAGAUGCCCAUUCCUAUGUAAGGUGCUAUCGAAGAGUCGAGUUGUUUGGGAAUGCAGCUCUAAGUGGGUGGUAAAUUCCAUCUAAAGCUAAAUAUUGGCGAGAGACCGAUAGCGAACAAGUACAGUGAUGGAAAGAUGAAAAGAACUUUGAAAAGAGAGUGAAAAAGUACGUGAAAUUGUUGAAAGGGAAGGGCAUUAGAUCAGACUUGGUGUUUUACGAUUAUCUUCUCUUCUUGAGUUGUGCACUCGUAUUUCACUGGGCCAGCAUCGAUUCGGAUGGCAAGAUAAUGGCAGUUGAAUGUGGCUUCACUUCGGUGGAGUGUUAUAGCUUCUGCUGAUAUUGCCUGUCUGGAUCGAGGGCUGCGUCUUUUGACUAGGAUGCUGGCGUAAUGAUCUAAUGCCGCCCGUCUG
This 535-nucleotide ribosomal RNA is filed under the name Wickerhamomyces sp. RNAcentral's name for it is "partial large subunit ribosomal RNA". It matches the Rfam family "Eukaryotic large subunit ribosomal RNA", at positions 107 to 655 of the family's 3401-position model. The record is from RNAcentral. Lineage: Eukaryota; Fungi; Ascomycota; Saccharomycetes; Phaffomycetales; Wickerhamomycetaceae.